CUAUGCCAUGUAAAGAUUUUGAAAAUAUACAGAAAGAGAGUUUUCUGCUUUCAAGUCACACUUACGUCACUGGCGAUAUUCCUUGAACUUUUUGCGGCAACAAUGGGAAUGGCAUCUGGUCUCAAAUCAUAGCCCUUGGCAAGGGUUUUCUUCCAGUCCGCCUUAUAAUGAGACUUGGAGAAAGGAAACAGUAGUUUAUUAUUUGGCCGCUCUACUUGGAUAGAUUUCUGUAGUUUCAAGCUUUUGUAGAAUAAGCACGCAAUCCUUUAUUUUCUUACAUUUUUCGUAACGAAGCAAUUUAGACUCCCAGAAAGGAGUGAACAGUCCAUUUAAAACGUUCAGACGUGGGACCGCCCAGAUUCGGUCAAGUCGUUUUAAAGAUUUCAGGGAUCUACCACCUGCCCCCUCCAGGCCGAGGGCAGCGGGCUCGGCGCGCCCCGGGGUCACGGCCUGGGCGACCCGGGCCCCACCCCCCCCCCCCCCCGCGGGUCCCACACUCACGUCACUCAGGUUGAGGGCGUUGACCUUGGCCUGGAUGAAGGGCGGCAGCGCGGGGUCCAGGGUGUACGUGUGCUUCCGCUUCUCCCCCUCCGCCUUGUACUUCAGCUGCAAUCACACGCGCGGGUCAGUCAGGGCGGGAGGCGGCUCCCCGCGCGGCCCCUCACGCGGCCUCUCACGCGGCCCCUCACGCGGCCCGUCGCUCCCCACCGCGCGCCCGGCCGGCGCCCCGGCCCCCGCCCCCGCCCCCCCCUCCCGGCGGGCCUUGCGGCGGGGCGUCCGCGUGAGGGGCCGCACAGGCCGCCUGUGCUCCCGGAGGCCACGCGGACGAGCCCGGACGCCGGAAGCGGCGCUGACCCGCGCGGGGUCCCAAGGGCAAGGCCGACGCCGACGCGAGGAGCCCAACGCGGCCCGCGGCCCAGAGCCCCCGGCGGGAGAGUGGGCGGCGGGGCCCGGAGCCGGCAGCCAAGGUGCAUUUCUCAAAUAUCUUCCUGUAUUGUGAAGCCUAUUAAGACAGAAAAGGAUCACCCCUGAAGUACCAACAUUCCUGGGCCUGUCAUACUCACAUCGCUCUGAAUUUGAUUCAUAUUCCUGGUGUGCUCGAGACUCAUGGCAUCGGGUAGGUACGUGUAAUGGUGUAUGGGCUGUUUGUAGUUGACGUUGGUGACAACAUCCUGGGCCGACUUCGCAGCAGUAAUGCUAACCAUGUCCCUAGGGGUAUGGUAGCUCGUUUUGGUGUUCUCAUAGUUCUUCUUGUAUUCACGAUCCGACUGCAGUUUUGCCACAUUCAUAUAAUGGACCAGCUUGGGAUCAUCCUGAAGGCUUCUAAAACCCACAUGCUUUCCCUUUGACUUCUCAUAAGCUUCCUUGUAUUUAUACUGCGAAGGCAAAAUUUGGUUAGCAAAGUUGAUAACAGUAGGUAUAGCAAGUAUAGUCACACACAAAGGCACUUCGAACAUUGUGACUUUCUGGAAGACUGUACAAGAAAUGCAAACCAUACCUCCCCACUCCCAUGUGCCCCAGAAAGUUCAGAGUGAAAACGGUUAUUUCCAACACUGCUGGGUUACAAAUGGGUAUCACAUGAUAGAUUCAGGACCAGUUUUUUUCUUUGCUAUAAAUCCUACAAAUGCUUUUGCAUGUUGGACUUUACUUAAACCCAUCUGAAUGUUCAUGCUUAAUGCAACAAGACACAUUCCAAAUAUAAGGCAGUACCUCUUGGUUUCCUAGGGAUGUGAAUUUUCCCAAUCCGUUACUACCACCACAGAAUGUUAUCAUACAUCACAGAACAUUAGAAAUUAGUGAGAAAACCUUCCAUUUACUGCUCCCAUUGACUGAGUGAUACGUAUGCAACUGAUGUAGAAGAAACUCCAAAGGACUCUGUAUGCGAGUUCACACAGUUUUUCUUGGGAGUAGGGGGUGGAAACCUUUACUGUGUUGUCUCAGGCUGCUGGAGUAAGGUUAGAACAAACCCCUCUUCUUUCUAGGGGGCAUCAAUUUAGAUACUGCAUAAGCAGGUAGCCUGGCCUUCUCCACCCAUUUCUUGGCAGCCUCUUUCCAAGCUCCUUGCUGAAGCAGCUGCAGAGGAGUUCAGGAACAGGAAGGGUAGGAAUGGCUGGGAGCUUCCCCUGGCAGUAAAAACCUCAGCGCAAAGGCUCUGCGGCCCAAGCUCUCUCGCUGCUGGCACCGGCAAUGGGGUGUAGACGGAGUUGUAUGGUAGGUAACAGGUCAAAAUCUCAAUUUUUAUAGAAGAGAACUCAAAUCCACUUAAAUUCUGCAGAAACUCUGCUUGUGUCAUUUAUGCAGCGAUUUAUAAACAAGAGCUUAGCAGGCAAAAGGGUCUUCGAGACAUUUCUAGGUAUGUUAGAGCCCUGCACGAGGUCUAAAACAAUGAUAAAGUCAUAUUUAGACUUUCACUUUGUCCUUAACCUAGAGAUGUACUCCAUAGUGGUGUGCACAUCUCUGAGGGACGCAUUUUCAGGGACCUCUUUCUAAGGAAAGCUGAGCUCCCCUGUGGUCUGCACACAUGGGUGGCUUCUUUCUUCUCCUUUCCCAAACCGUGAUUGUAGCCCUCAGAAUAGUAGGUGACAGUGAAGUCUACGGGGCAUGCAUGCUGUCUGAGAGUUUUGAUCUUCAAUGAGAAGAAGUGGAAGUGUAUACAUUUCCUAUUACAGAUGAAAUGGGCAUUGAUUUACAUAAAUGAAAAUUAAAUUCAAGAAAAAUGGACCUUUACCCAUUUGGUUUACAAAAUCCUUACAUUAUGAACAUCUUUUCAAUCUUCUUAAUACAAUUAUUAUGCAGGCAGUCAUUUGAAUUUAAUGUGUUAGUGUCAGGUAGGGUGUUCUCACUGAAAAAUAAAUGUAGGCUGUCAAGGAAAUGUGUCAGUAGAGGUAAUUUGGCCUAUGAAUCAGGGGAGAAGUGGUUGUCAGAUUUAUGACAGCUCUACCAAGUGGGGUCAACGGAAAAGAAUCAAGGAAUUUUGAAAAAAUGACAGCUUUUCAAAACAGUAUCUUGUGGAGAAUUUCAACGUCAUUACCUCGACAUAUUGUUUUCAAUGUGGCAUCAUUUAGACAAGCACACAUUUGAUUAGUUUUUAAAAAGGCAAUGCACCCACAUUUCACCUAAAAUUUUUACUCACAUCACUGGCAAUGUUUCUGGAUGCUUUGGCCGCAGUGAUGGGAAUCGCGUCACCCAGCACAUUGUUGCCCUUGGCUAUUAAAUCAUGCCAGUCCCGUUUGUAGCAGACCUGGGAUAUGAAGGAAAGAAGGAGGUCAGCAUGCUGUGCAUGGAUCAGCUGAAGUGAGUCCCCAAUUGCUGGGACUGUUUUGUUCAUUUCCAGAUAGAAGCUAAAGGAAUCUCCUACAGUACAUUCUGUUUUGGGAAGUCACAUUAGCAAAAUGUCACACCUUGUGUAGCAUGAAAUUACAGGAUGCUGCACCAAUUAUACACCCAAACCUGGUUUGGGUACAGAGCAAAGCAGGAUGCGGAGAAACUGGAGUGGAUCUAGAAGAGAGGAAUAAAUGUUCUUUCUGGAAACCUUGGUGUGUGAGGACCAACUAGAGAAAAUGAAGUUGUCCACUCUUACGGAAGGAAGGUCAAGGGAAGACCUGGUGGUUAGCUUUAGAAAUUUCAGGUUUGCUGUAAUAAAAGGAUUUCAUUCAUUCUUAUUUUUCUGCAGGAUAAUAACUCUCUCCACUUGCAAAAUGAGGAAAACUAACUCGAAGUUUUAGAGGAACAGAUGUUGGGCUCCAUGCAAGGGAAAAUGUCACAUCCUUUUGGAAUUAUACUGCCCUUGAAGAGGCCAACUUAAGAGGCAGAGAGCCAUCGUCAUGAGAUAGGCUCCAUCCAGUAUGUGUGUGGGAAACUGACCUAAAUAGUUAUCAAGGCCCCAUCCUACUCAGAUUCUAUUACUUUACCACCUUGUCUGGGUUUCACACCCCAUUGAAAACCCUACUUACGUCACUUAUAUUGUAAGCAUUGCACUUGGCCUGGAGAAACUGAGGGAGAUCAGGACUCAUAGUGUAUUUAUGUUUCACAUCUUCUCCUUUAGCUUUGUAUAAGAUCUGCAAUACACAAUCACAAAAAUAACAUGUAUCACAGACAGUACAAAAAAAGAAAAUGUUUGAAUUGCACACUUAAUGGAGUUACUCCCAGCACAGUCCCUCUACUACUUCUAUUGUUAAAAAUCAAAAGUAUUUCCCUAUUUUUAAAAACUCAAGCAUUUUGUCAUUUUUAGAAAGACAUAAAAACUCUGUGUAUUAAAAUAGAAAAGUAGAAAACAGUGAUCUUUGACUGCUAGAAAUGAAUGGAAAAUCAUUUCAAAUGUGAAACCCUAACUUGAAUAAACAGAAUUUACCAAAGUCAGAAAAGUCCAAUCUUUACUAGUGGAGUAAACAGGUCUUGUUUUUUAGUUUUGGGUUUUUGUUUCUUAGAAAAUGGCAUUUAGAAGGAGUCUUUCACUUCUGCUAAAAAAAAAAAAAAAAAAAAAAACCUUUCCAAUUACAAUUGUAACACUAAAACCAUAUAAUAAUCUCCUCAUGCUAUGAGGGCACUUCUACAUUACCCAGUGUACUUUAGAGGUUUACCAUUUCAUAUUUACCCUAUCUUAUCCUUUUUACAGAUGUCAGAAAGGCAGCUAGGUGCAGGAUAUAGAACUUAGAUUGUGUCCUCCUCUUGGUAAUAGAAAAGAAAUUGCUUGAUUUCUAAAAAUCUAAAAUACAACUGGAAUCACUAGAUUUUCAAUCUCUUGACUGUCAUUUAUCACAUAAACUCUCAAGCAGAUAUCACAUGUAAACUGCCAUCUAUGUAUCACAAAGUCUAAAGAGGCUGAUAUCUAUUUGAAUUCUCAAAUCCUAAAUAACUUCUUCUAGGCAUCCAAGAGGUAACUUUACUUCCUCACUGCCUUUAGAAACCAUAGCUAGGCAUUCACAGAGUCUCACUGAUUCUGUCCUCUACACAUCUCCUCUGCCAUUGCUAGUGCUUUAGUUGAAGUCCAAAGGAGUCUUUUGCUAGGUUUCUGUAAAGCGCUUUUAAUCUAUCUUCUUACCUCCAGUCUCUCCCCUAACCAAUGCCAUCUCAGCGCUCUUUGUCAGAGCUGUCUUUUAGAACACAUAUCUGAUAACCAACUCCAUGGAUUAAGAUCUUCAAUACCUCCAAUUACCUACCCCACAAUAUCCAGAGUAUAAGCACGCAAGAUCCUCAAUUAUCAGAUAAUAAUCCCAAACCCUUCACCAUCCUUCCAGUUCAUUAGCUCUUGUUGGUCAUUAUGUUUUUUUCUUUCACCAAGAAUGUACCCUCUUCCCUUAUUUGCCAGGGAAGCCUUUGUGGGGGGUUACCCUCUUCUCUUGCACUUGGCACAUACCUCUCCUGUAGCAUUCACCUCUUGGUGUGGCAAUGCUCUGGUUCUAUCCAUGCUUUUGUCUUACACUCUUAUAUCCUUGUUAUAUCCUAUAUCUCACUACUCAUCUAUGGUGUCUUUAUAGCAUCAGCGUAUAAUACAAUGCCCAGCACAGGGAAGGAGUUCAAAAACAUUCAUUCAAUGAAUUAAUAAAUAAAUGCUUUCCAUGUCCCUUUAAUUCUUCUAUACACUAAGCUUCCCUUUAGGUCUGACUUUAGCCAGGUCAUACACAUUGUUCAUGGACAGCCGGGCAAACAACAUACUAAUCUCCAAGAUGUAAGUUUUCAAAAGCCUCUAUAAUAUUUGUGUAUGAUGAAUUCUGAGAAGCAAAACCAUAUACUCAUGUGAAUUAUUUCCCUGUACUAGUAUUUUAUAUAUGAACAGCAAAUAUAUGCAACUUAAUAUGGACUUGAAGGUGAUAAGUUUGUUAAAGUGUCUGGAAUUUAAAUUUUGCGUGUGUAUAUACAGGU
RNAcentral lists this long non-coding RNA (5862 nucleotides) under Canis lupus familiaris (dog). Its description in RNAcentral is "lncRNA (ENSCAFG00000053517.1)". The record is from RNAcentral. Lineage: Eukaryota; Metazoa; Chordata; Mammalia; Carnivora; Canidae.